This 745-nucleotide ribosomal RNA is filed under the name Disersus chibcha. Its description in RNAcentral is "partial 16S ribosomal RNA". The stretch from base 1 to 530 matches the Rfam family "Bacterial large subunit ribosomal RNA", at positions 1932 to 2925 of the family's 2925-position model. Lineage: Eukaryota; Metazoa; Arthropoda; Insecta; Coleoptera; Elmidae. The record is from RNAcentral.
CGCGGUAUUUUGACCGUGCAAAGGUAGCAUAAUAAUUAGUUUUUUAAUUGAAAGCUGGAAUGAAUGGUUGGACGAGAAAAUUUCUGUCUCUAUUUAAUUUUUAGUAGAAUUUUAUUUUUAAGUUAAAAAGCUUAAAUGAUGUUAAAAGACGAGAAGACCCUAUAGAGUUUAAUAGUUGGUUAAAUUUAUUUUUUUUAGAAUUUUUAUUUAAAUAUAUUUAUUUAAUUAUUUUGUUGGGGUGAUAAAAAGAUAAGUUUAACUCUUUUUUUAUUUAAACAUUUCUAUAUGAAUAUUUGAUCCAUUAUUAUUGAUUACAAGAAUAAAUUACCUUAGGGAUAACAGCGUAAUCUUUUUGGAGAGUUCUUAUUGAUAGAAGGGAUUGCGACCUCGAUGUUGGAUUAAAAUUAAUUUUUGGUGUAGGAGCUGAAUAAAUUAAGUCUGUUCGACUUUUAAAAUUUUACAUGAUCUGAGUUUAAACCGGUGUGAGCCAGGUUGGUUUCUAUCUUUAUUUUUUUAUAAUACUUUAGUACGAAAGGACCAGGUAUUGGGUAUAUUUACUUUUUUUUGAAUAUUAUUGUUACUUUGGCAGAUUAGUGCGUUGGAUUUAGAAUCUUUUUAUGUAAAUUUUUACAGGUAAUAUUUGUUUAUAUUUGAUGUUUUUUUGGUAGUUUUUAAUAUGUUGUUAUUAGUGAUUUUGGUUUUAGUAGGGGUAGCUUUUUUUACUUUGCUUGAGCGUAAGGUUUUA